CAGUAGCCGCGGUAAUACAGAGGGUGCGAGCGUUAAUCGGAUUUACUGGGCGUAAAGCGUGCGUAGGCGGCUUCUUAAGUCGGAUGUGAAAUCCCUGAGCUUAACUUAGGAAUUGCAUUCGAUACUGGGAAGCUAGAGUAUGGGAGAGGAUGGUAGAAUUCCAGGUGUAGCGGUGAAAUGCGUAGAGAUCUGGAGGAAUACCGAUGGCGAAGGCAGCCAUCUGGCCUAAUACUGACGCUGAGGUACGAAAGCAUGGGGAGCAAACAGGAUUAGAUACCCCAGUAGUCCAUGUCUCUUAUAC
Molecule: ribosomal RNA, 301 nt
Filed under: uncultured bacterium
Lineage: Bacteria
Description: partial 16S ribosomal RNA
Rfam family: Bacterial small subunit ribosomal RNA
Source: RNAcentral